UAUCAGUGCUCAGUCGUACUAUCUUGAAACUGGAACAGUACAGGGAAAAUUAGAAUGGUUUCUGCACAAGGAUGACACCCAAAUUUGGAAAAAGGCUCCUGUUUUU
Neogale vison (American mink) is the source of this 106-nucleotide small nuclear RNA. The record is from Ensembl. NCBI's taxonomy places the organism in Eukaryota, Metazoa, Chordata, Mammalia, Carnivora, Mustelidae.